Molecule: ribosomal RNA, 492 nt
Filed under: uncultured bacterium
Lineage: Bacteria
Description: bacterial SSU rRNA
Rfam family: Bacterial small subunit ribosomal RNA
Source: RNAcentral
GAUGAACGCUAGCGGCAGGCUUAACACAUGCAAGUCGAGGGGCAGCAUGACACGGAGAUUCGUCGAAGUGUUGAUGGCGACCGGCGCAAGGGUGCGUAACGCGUGAGCAACUUGCCCGUUUCUGGGGGAAUAACCGGUGGAAACGCCGACUAAUACCCCAUGGUGUUGUCUGGAGGCAUCUCCAUACAACUAAAGAACUUCGGAAACGGAUAGGCUCGCGUGACAUUAGCUAGAUGGCGGGGUAACGGCCCACCAUGGCGACGAUGUCUAGGGGUUCUGAGAGGAAGGUCCCCCACACUGGAACUGAGACACGGUCCAGACUCCUACGGGAGGCAGCAGUGAGGAAUAUUGGUCAAUGGUCGGAAGACUGAACCAGCCAAGUAGCGUGAAGGAUGAAGGUUCUAUGGAUUGUAAACUUCUUUAUACGGGAAUAAAACCUCCCACGUGUGGAGCUUGUAUGUACCGUAUGAAUAAGCAUCGGCUAACUCCGUG